CAACUUUCUUAAUAGCGCUUAAGUACUUCAAAAUUUUCUGGGGUGUUACAUCAGUAGUGAUUACAAGCUCUUUGAAUACUUUUUUGCAUUAAGUUUAACGAUUUUUAGCUAACGACAACUAACUUAUCAAAAUUUGUUGAGCUUUGUUAAUUUGAGAGGUUAAGUUCCUUUAAAGAUAUUUGUUGUGUAUAUUUCCCUUGCUCUUCUUCACCUUCAUCUUCUUCUUCUUCUCUGGUGAAUUAUUUUGGUAAAUUCAAGUGUGCCUCUGGCUGGGAAAUACUGAGAUAAAGGAAAAUUACAUUUUUCACUAAUAAAAAGACUUGGCACAAGAAUAUUCUUUUUAAAUGUUCUUUCUUAUUAUGGAGAGCUUUAAGGAAUAAUAUAACAGAGCAUGAAAGUAUGAAGAAACGUAAGAAUUUUUUAUUAUGUAUUAAGACCCGAAUUAUGUUUGAGGCAUUCAACGCCUAUAGGUGAGAUAUAUUUUGCUAUACUUGUUUUGCAAAUCCACAUGAUCAAAUCUGUUGAUAAUUUAAUUAUUUUAUUUGACAAUAUUCAAUUUUGUGACAACUGAUGAUCAUGAGAUGUGCUAGGAAAACAUAAAUGAAAAGCAUCCUAAUUUAUGGUUUUACUCUCUUCUGUGCUAGGCUACAGACUCUACACAAAGGCACAAGGGAUGACGACGUGCAAUGACAAACAUAUUUAGUCUGUUGGAACAUGUAAUAUUUGUUGCCUAUUGAUUAUGAGAUAAAAAUCUGGUUCUUCUUUCCGAAGUCAGAUAUAGUUAGUUAACGCACAUUGUAGUUCAAUGUUUCCAUCAGUUUGCGAUUUAUGAGACGUUGAAGUUUGCUGAACUGAUUGAGUGAAUGUAAGCUACACCACCUUCAGGAGGAAAGCAUACAAAUGGACAAAUUGAUGGAAGAAAUUGGCGUGUUCUCAGGGUCACUGGAAACCUUGUGGCUGCUUCAGUUGUUAAUGGAAUGCCAACCACGUUCGACCUGUUUCUCGACCUUCAUAUGUAUUUUAUACGAGUCUCUCUAACUGUGAUGGAACUUUCCUUUCUCGAAUUCUUUUUUAGCUCAUUUAGUGCUCAAAGAGUACUUUUGAAUUUUUAGUCAAACUUCAGUGUUGCAUCAACUGAUUUGGCAUAAUAGUUUAUCAUCUUUUUUUUA
Non-coding RNA from Nicotiana tabacum (common tobacco), 1169 nucleotides. NCBI's taxonomy places the organism in Eukaryota, Viridiplantae, Streptophyta, Magnoliopsida, Solanales, Solanaceae. The record is from RefSeq and is a predicted model, not a curated record.